Molecule: long non-coding RNA, 1902 nt
Organism: Haplochromis burtoni (Burton's mouthbrooder)
Lineage: Eukaryota; Metazoa; Chordata; Actinopteri; Cichliformes; Cichlidae
Product: butyrophilin subfamily 1 member A1
Source: RefSeq, a predicted model, not a curated record
UUAUUUGUUUUUCAGAAUCCAGAAUGUGUUUUCUGUAGAAUGAAUUCUGCUUUAAACACCCAUUUGGUGCUGUUAUUGAUGGUGUUUGCCCAACUACCUUCUUCCUUUACUAAAGGUACCAUUCAGGUAAUUGGUUCAUCUCACCCAAUAGUUGCUUUAGUGGGUGAUGACGUCAUACUGCCAUGCUAUUUGAACUCCUCCAUAAGUGCCUCAGACAAGACGGUGGAGUGGACAAAAUGCAAGCUGGAUCCCAGAUUUGUUUAUGUGUGGCGUGAUGGUGGUGAACUGGAAAGUAAAAAGAAUCCCUCCUACAAAGGAUGAACAACAGUAUCCCUUCAUAAAUUAAAGCUUGGAGACAUUUCACUGAAUCUGUCUAAAGUGAGACUUUCUGAUAGGGGAAGAUAUAGAUGCUUCCUUCCAGAUAUGGGUGAAACUUUAAUGGAGCUCAUUGUUGGGGCUGUAUCCCUACCUGUAAUAUUGCGUGUUCAAAAAGCCAAGACUGGAGUUGCAUUACAGUGUGAGUCUGCAGGCUGGUAUCCACAGCCUGAGCUGCUGUGGUUGGACGGUGAGGGAAACCUCCUCUCUGCUGGACCUACAGAGACCCUCAGAGGUCCUGAUGACCUCUAUACUGUCAGCAGCAGAGUGACUGUGGAGAAGAGACACAGCAACAACAUCACCUGCAGAGUCCAACAGAGGGUCUAAUUCACUGAGCUGUUUCGUCCGACCCAUUACUUGACAUACUUCUUGAGGCAAACUUUACACAUCUGUGGCAAUGGGAUUGAAAACACAUGAAUUCAAAAAGUAAGAGGUGUGGCGCAAUACUUUUUUUUUUUUUCCAUAUAAUUUACUAUGAAAGUAAAAACCACCACUCAGUAGACUGCAUGCUUAAACAGCAGUUUAUUUAAGUUUUGAUUUAUUUUAGAAAAAUAUUUAAGCAGCUAAAUGUGCUUUGGUAUUUGCUAUACAUAAGGACGAAAAGGCAGUACAUCCAGUAAGAUACAGACCAUAUCAUAAACAUUAAGUGGUAACCAUGAAGAGAUUUUUAAUUUAGUUUGUCAUAUGAUUUUACUUUAAAAAAAAAAAUUCAGAGAAGGAAUAAUUGUUUUGAGAAGUUAAUUGGUCUUUUGGUGUCUUUUUUUUUUAACUUUCUGUUUUUUUAGUUGUACAGUUUUGUUUAAUAGUUGUGAUGUGCACACUGUUGAAUAAAUAACUUAAUAAAAUUCUUUCUUUUAUUCAUCCAAAUAUGUUUUUUAAUCAAAACAUUAUGACUAUGUAUUAUAGGCUAGAACAGAUGUGCGACAGUUUCUACAUCUGUAAAACACAGUAAACUCCAUCUGGUCAUCGUUGUCAUUAUUUCCUCAAACAUCCUUUACAUUAUCAGUGUGUUUUUAAUCUAUGUUAACAGCUCAGCCAUACCAAAGCAAAUCACUGGGAAGUAAUUAACAAGUUAUUUCACGUUCAAUGCAGUAUUCUAAGAAUGCUACAUUUUAUUGCAUAUAUGGUCAUUAGAGCACAGAGGCCACUGCAUUAGGUUUGAAUAUCUAUCUACAGUAUUCUGGCUGAUGUAUGAAUGAUAUUUCUAUAGGCAGACUGAUCAUUUCAUUCAAACCAGCAUUAGCUUCCUCGAGUGACAGAGACCGAGUGGAUAAAUGUUUUUUGUUAACAUGAAUGUUCAAGAUGUUCAAUAAACAUGUUAAGUGCGUAUAUUUUCUUUUUUCUCAAGUCUGUUUGCUUAUGCAAAAUGAAAAGCAAUUAAUAUAGAAUAAAAAUGAAUGAUAUUUAAUCAUGAUUAAUCAAAAUGAAUCCACUGUAACCCUGUGAUGAAUCUGAUUAAACAUUUGAAUUGUUUGACAGCACUAAUAUAUAUUAUAUAUUAGUCUAUUCUUGCUUAAUAUUAGUGUA